This 485-nucleotide ribosomal RNA is filed under the name uncultured bacterium. RNAcentral describes it as "partial 16S ribosomal RNA". It matches the Rfam family "Bacterial small subunit ribosomal RNA", at positions 899 to 1397 of the family's 1533-position model. The record is from RNAcentral.
ACUCAAAUGAAUAGACGGGGACCCGCACAAGCGGUGGAUGAUGUGGUUUAAUUUGACGAUACGCGGAGAACCUUACCCAGGCUUGACAUCCUAGGAAUCUUUGAGAAAUCAGAGAGUGCCUUCGGGAGCCUAGUGACAGGCGCUGCAUGGCCGUCGUCAGCUCGUGUCGUGAGAUGUUGGGUUAAGUCCCGCAACGAGCGCAACCCUUAUCGUAUGUUGUAUUUUUCAUGCGAGACUGCCCGAGGCAAUCGGGAGGAAGGCGGGGAUGAGGUCAGGUCAGCAUGGCCCUUACGCCUGGGGCUACACACGUCAUACAAUGGCCGGUACAAAGCGCCGCGAAACCGCGAGGUGGAGCUAAUCGCACCAAAACCGGUCCCAGUUCGGAUUGCAGGCUGCAACUCGCCUGCAUGAAGUCGGAAUCGCUAGUAAACGUAGGUCAGCAUACUACGUUGAAUACGUUCCCGGGUCUUGUACACACCGCCCGU